UACGUAGGGUGCGAGCGUUAAUCGGAAUUACUGGGCGUAAAGCGUGCGCAGGCGGUUUUGUAAGACAGGCGUGAAAUCCCCGGGCUCAACCUGGGAACUGCGCUUGUGACUGCAUGGCUAGAGUGCGGCAGAGGGGGAUGGAAUUCCGCGUGUAGCAGUGAAAUGCGUAGAUAUGCGGAGGAACACCGAUGGCGAAGGCAAUCCCCUGGGCCUGCACUGACGCUCAUGCACGAAAGCGUGGGGAGCAAACAGGAUUAGAUACCCCAGUAGU
This 271-nucleotide ribosomal RNA is filed under the name uncultured bacterium. RNAcentral's name for it is "partial 16S ribosomal RNA". It matches the Rfam family "Bacterial small subunit ribosomal RNA", at positions 524 to 794 of the family's 1533-position model. The record is from RNAcentral.